RNAcentral lists this ribosomal RNA (2058 nucleotides) under human gut metagenome. Its description in RNAcentral is "bacterial LSU rRNA". It matches the Rfam family "Bacterial large subunit ribosomal RNA", at positions 55 to 2003 of the family's 2925-position model. The record is from RNAcentral.
GACGUGAUAAGCUGCGAUAAGCUUCGGGGAGUUGCACGUAAACUUUGAUCCGAAGAUUUCCGAAUGAGGAAACUCACUUAGAGUAAUGUCUAAGUAUCAUUAAGUGAAUACAUAGCUUAAUGAGGGGAACUCAGGGAACUGAAACAUCUAAGUACCUGAAGGAAGAGAAAGAAAUUCGAUUCCGUAAGUAGCGGCGAGCGAACGCGGAUUAGCCCAAACCAAUAAAGUUUUCUUUAUUGGGGUUGCGGACAUAUCAUAACGAAGAGGAAUCGUAAUUGAAGAGGUUUGGAAAGACCCACCACAGAAGGUAAUAGUCCUGUAUGUUAAACGAGAAGACUUCAGAUAUGAUCCAGAGUACCACGGGACACGUGAAACCCUGUGGGAAGCAGGAGGGACCACCCUCCAAGGCUAAAUACUACCUAGUGACCGAUAGCGUAUAGUACCGUGAGGGAAAGGUGAAAAGUACCCCGGGAGGGGAGUGAAACAGUCUCUGAAACCAUGCGCCUACGAACCGUCGGGGCCCCCUUGUGGGGUGACGGCGUGCCUAUCGAAAAAUGAGUCUGCGAGUCAGUGGCAUGUGGCGAGCAUAACCCGUGUGGGGUAUGCGUAGCGAAGGCGAGUCUUAAAAGGCGUUUGAGUCGUGUGUCCUGGACCCGAAGCGGGAUGAUCUAGCCCUGAGCAGGUUGAAGCGCGGGUAAGACCGUGUGGAGGACCGAACCCACCUGGGUUGAAAACCGGGGGGAUGACUUGGGGCUAGGGGUGAAAGGCCAAUCAAAUUCCGUGAUAGCUGGUUCUCUCCGAAAUGCAUUUAGGUGCAGCGUCGGAUCGAUUACAUCCGGGGGGUAGAGCGACUGGAUGCUUGCGGGCCCAUAUCGGGUACCAACAGCAACCAAACUCCGAAUACCCGUGAUGCGUAUCCCGGCAGUGAGUCGGCGGGGGAUAAGCUCCGUCGUCGAAAGGGAAACAGCCCAGAUCGUCGUCUAAGGUCCCCAAGCGUGUGCUAAGUGGGAAAGGAUGUGGAGUCGCAUAGACAGCCAGGAGGUUGGCUCAGAAGCAGCCACCCUUGAAAGAGUGCGUAACAGCUCACUGGUCUAGUGGUUCCGCGCCGACAAUGUAGCGGGGCUCAAGCACACCACCGAAGACGCGGCAGUAGUUUUGCUACUGGGUAGGAGAGCGUCCCAUGCGGGGCGAAGCGGCGGCGCAAGCCCGCCGUGGACCGCAUGGGAGUGAGAAUGCAGACAUGAGUAGCGAAAGACGGGUGAAGAUCCCGUCCGCUGGACGACCAAGGGUUCCAGGGCCACGUUCAUCGUCCCUGGGUGAGUCGGGUCCUAAGGCGAGGCCGACAGGCGUAGUCGAAUGGAUGAACGGGUCGAUAUUCCCGUACCGGCAUGCAACCGGCAAAACCGAAUCCGCGAGUACUAACCUCCGGGUCCGGGCUUACGUCUCCUUCGGGAGCCGGAUGCCCUGGCCUGUUGGGACCGUAACGGUAGUAGGUCAGCGCGGGAGUGACGCAGAAGGGUAGCCGGCCGCGGAGGUGGUCUUCCGUGGUCAAGCACGCAGCCCGUCCCACAGGCAAAUCCGUGGGGCGCGUGGGCGAGGUGCGAUGAUGGGCGCCGUUGGGCGCGAUAUCCGGUGAUCCCGGCUGCCGAGAAAAGCUUCGGCGUGAGGCGGCGUGCCGCCCGUACCCCAAACCGACACUGGUGGUCAGGUAGAGAAUACCAAAGCGAUCGAGCGAAUCCUGGUCAAGGAACUCGGCAAAUCACUCCCGUUCCUUCGGUUUAAGGGAGACCCCCGAUGGUGAACACACUUGCUGUGGGAGCUUUUGGGGGUGGCACAGACCAGGGGGUAGCGACUGUUUACCAAAAACACAGGAGCGUGCGAAGGCGCAAGCCGCUGUAUACGCUCUGACGCCUGCCCGGUGCCGGAAGGUUAAGAGGAUCCGUCAGGCUUCGGCCGAAGCGGUGAAUUCAAGCCCCGGUAAACGGCGGUGGUAACUAUAACCAUCCUAAGGUAGCGAAAUUCCUUGUCGGGUAAGUUCCGACCUGCACGAAUGGCGUA